This 253-nucleotide ribosomal RNA is filed under the name uncultured bacterium. RNAcentral describes it as "partial 16S ribosomal RNA". It matches the Rfam family "Bacterial small subunit ribosomal RNA", at positions 524 to 776 of the family's 1533-position model. The record is from RNAcentral.
UACGUAGGGGGCAAGCGUUGUCCGGAUUUAUUGGGCGUAAAGCGCUCGCAGGUGGCCCGAUGCGUCGUGCGUGAAAGACCCCGGCUCAACUGGGGAGGGUCACGCGAUACUGAUCGACUGGAAGGCAGGAGAGGGUAGUGGAAUUCCCGGUGUAGUGGUGAAAUGCGUAGAUAUCGGGAGGAACACCAGUGGCGAAGGCGACUACCUGGCCUGUUCUUGACGCUGAGGCGCGAAAGCUAGGGGAGCAAACGGG